This 103-nucleotide microRNA precursor is filed under the name Canis lupus dingo (dingo). Its description in RNAcentral is "mir-8834 microRNA precursor family". It matches the Rfam family "mir-8834 microRNA precursor family". The record is from Rfam by way of RNAcentral. Lineage: Eukaryota; Metazoa; Chordata; Mammalia; Carnivora; Canidae.
AGGAGGAACAACCCCAGCGGCGGCGGCAGCUCUGGAGCCCUGGAGUCAGCUCCUGCUGUAACUACAGAGCUCUCCGCCUGCGCCGUUGGAUUCCCGCUCCCGG